UGGUGUGGCCUACUUGCACCUUGGGAGAGAUUAUUGGAGGUUGGGGAUCAGUAGUCCCCCUGGUAAUCAGUACAGGGCCUGCAGAUAUCCUGGUCAACAUUCCAGUUUUCAUCACUAAGGAGACCUUAAUCAUGUCCCUGUUGCAAAUCCAGACUACCACUUUGGUACCCAAUACAGGCAUGCAGCCUCAGAUAUCAGGCCAAAGGGUAAGGUACAGAUGGCUGGGACAUGCCCUAGUGCAAGCAGAAGUGUUGACCCAGGACAGGAACAUGGUCUGUAUCUUGCUGUGAAAGGCAAACCUUCUCCUUCUGAUACCUCUAAAACAUCUAUACUAAUAGACCAUCUAUACUAAUCUGUGAGUCUCUUUGAGUCCACAGGACUGGUCCAAGCUACUGCAUGCCUCCAGUAACAUCAUCGGGCUGAACUUCAACCAUGAUCUGAUCAUUGGUCAUCUUGCAUUAUGUCAACCUGCACCAUCAUGGGCAAUUGUACAAGUGUUGUGGUGUGUUGGAUCCUUGUAUUAGUGAAGGCACACCCUCCAGCCAGCCUAAUCAUUGGCUCAUGUCUUUAAGGGGUGGAGUGUAUAGGAACUGUUGAGUCAUGGCCUGAACCACUGGAGAGAAGACCUGGUCAGCCCUGGGAGCACAGGUGAGGGCAGUUCACCUGGGUGACUGGAAGGGGUGGAGCCUGACUUCACCUCUCUUUGACCUCAUUUAAGGGCUGACUGGCACAGUGGAAGGAUUUCUUGUUGGUGAUCUCUUCUCUGUGGAGUUCCUACUGUGAGCCUAGAUCCUUGGAGUUUCCCUGAGAAUUUACCUGACUAAAGCAUGGGAGGGGAAGCUAUCCUGGAGAGGUUUAGUUCUUCUCACACAGCCCAAAGGAGAGCCCAAGCCUCUCCUUUGCAGAAGGUCCUUCCAGCUGAACUAUUUUGGAGGUUUAAAGAUUAUUAGCCAGCCUGAGUGCCUACAGAUAUCUAAAGGAAGUCUACAAAAUAAUGGGAAUUUGUGCCAGGUCCUGUUUUGAGAACAGACAGGAGGAGAAAUAAUGGAAUUAAUAUCUGAGUAACUAGGAAAAUAAUAUGUUGAUGACAUACUGCAACCAUGGGGGGGAACACUGCACUGUUUUCAGACAGCAGCAGCAGAGAUUGCGCUUCCUUCAGCAUCUGAUGCAGGGCUGCGUGGGGCUGUAAGGGGCAGAUUUGAGUUACUAUUCCAUCCCAUUAACCUCCAGUGUGAUGCAGUCCCUACAAGUGAAGUCUAAUUGAUUCAAUAUGCCUGAUUCUGACCAAUCUGCUGAAAGUUCUCUUAACCUGGAUAAUGAGAAACUCUCGCUCCAGCUUCAUUGUUUUUUAAUUUUAUUACUGCUUCCUCUUGGCUUGAUUUGUCAUCCGUACUUAUUGAAUUCCUGCUUGUAUUCCAUAUCUUAAUUAAAAGCUUGUUUCUUCUGCUUUUCUCAGUAAUCUCUUCCAUGCUUUCUGGAGUUUGUCCUGUAACUUAGGCUCCUCCUUGUGCUUGCCAUCAGAAGAGAACACAAGCUUAUGUUUGGACCACUGUCUCAAAGGACAGAAAAAGCCACUAAUGCUAAUCUCAAGAGCUCUCCACCUGCCUCAGUAAAUGUCUACAGACAGCUUUUCCCCCUGUGAAGCUUCUCAACUCUUCAGUAAGAGACAGGAGAGAGGCCACAGCAGAUCCUAUAGGAACGAGUAGAGUAAUCAUUCGUAGGCACAGUUUAAAUUGCACAUGCCUGCUUGAAAUACUCAUUAUAACAUCAACCAGAGGCUGUUUCUGAAUUUCCAGUCAAAUUUUGAUUGACUUUAACAUUCUUGAUCAACAUGAACAGACUCUAAGUGAUAAACUAGCACUCUAGUUUAGGCACUACAUGUCAGUUCCACUGGAAAGGUGCUGAUGUACUUGAUCCAGACACAAAAUUUACAUUAUUGACUUAAUAAAAUGAGUAUCAAAUAUUCUAUACAGAGAGCAGAAUAGAUGAAGCCCACAAAUCAUCUGUCUCAGAGUGGUUAUUUAUAAUACUCACCUGCUACACAACACCUGCUGAGAAGUUUCAAAUUGAAAAGUAGGCUUUCUUUGAAAAAUCGCUUUUUUUUGUCUUAUAAACCUUUACUCAGAUAACUUGCUGUGUGGUUAGUUGUUCUUGCAUUGCAACACAGUGACUAGUCAUUCCUUAUUCACAUUAAUUUACUGGCACAUUUUUUCCAUUUUGGUUCUCUAACUCAGGCUGAGAAGUUCUAAUUAAAUGUCAUGGUUUUGUAAUUUUGCUAUUGGUAUUCCACAUCAUAACAUCAUGUACAGCACGGGUAAUUAAAGGGUUAAUACUCCAGUUCCAUGGAUUGACAACUUCCCAGAUACCUGGUUCUCAAAAGAGAAGAAGAACUACAUAUCCCAGAGGACCUCACGGUCAGAGAAGGAAGAUACAUUACGGGAUUCACAGGAUUUCUCUCUCUCACUGCCAGGCAGAGGGGUGGGUGUGCUUCCAAGCUGUGUGCCUUCAUGCAAGUAAGGCCUUUUGGUUUCGGAAACUCUCUUAUUUUAUUUAUUACCCUCAAUUUCAAUUAGAUUGUAUUAUAUUGUGUUAUCUUGCAUUCCGAUACCACAGUUAGUAAAAAAAAGUUUUCCUCCUUAGAUUGUUGCUGCUGCUCCGUUCUUUUUUCCCUCUCUGAGCCCAGCUCCCGUUCCCCUACCAAUUUCCCUUUUCCCUUCCCAUUUUUUGGGAGCCAGGGGGCCCACAGGUCUACUGCCCCCCAGUCAUGGACAUAGAUUGAUCUAGAUAACUCCGUGACAGUUUUUGGGGGAGAAUGCAGGCAUUCUGAAGCUUUUCACAUUAGCAGAGGGGGAAAAAAAAAAAAAAAAGGGAUUUCUUUAAGCCGGAGACUGCAAGGCAUUGCUACUUUGACCUCCAUAGAUUACAUAGAUUAGAUUAUAGUCUAGGCAGUCUGCCAAACUCUGGACACUGUACCAAAUGUUUUUUUCAGGAUCUAUCAAUUGAGAUGGUCCUACCCAAUCCAGCUUCCUACAUACUAUAGAGGGAGAUAAGGUUCCUUUAGUACAUUAAAAGAGCAUGUUGGGAAAAACUGUUUGGGUCCUUCCAGCUUCUGGAAAGGGCAAACCUCUCCAUGGAACUGUUUUUGCUCAAGGACCCAGCACCACUUGGUGGGUGAUGCAGAAAGAUGGGGAUGUUCAGUGUGUACCACAAGGGAAUUUGAUGCUGGUAUAAUAAUUCCAUGUAUAUAUAUGUAUAUAUAUGCAUAUAGAUCUGUGUGUGUAAUGCAUUUUUAUUAUUGCUUGUUCAUAUAUAUGUAUAUAUAAUAAACAUGAUGUAGUGAUGUGGAAUAAGGGGUGGAAUGGGAAUGUCAUGUUUUUAUGAUUUUUGUUAUCGGUAUUCUACAUCAUAACAUCAUGGAAAGCAUGGGAAUUAAAGAGUUAAUACUCCAGUUCCAUGGACUGACAACUUUCCGGCUCUCAGAAGAGAAGAACUACAUACCCCAUAGGACUUCGUGUUCAGAGGGGAAGAUAAGACCUGCAAGUCACAGGACUCACUCUCUAUCUCGCUGCCUGGCAGUGUGUGGGUGUGCUCCCCAGCUGUUUCACCUUCAAUUCAGAGUAAGGCCUUUGGUUUCAGACACUCUCAUUUUGAUUUAUUAGCCUCAGUUCCAAUUAUAUAUUGUAUUAUAUUGUGCUAUCUUGCAUUCUGAUAUCAUAUUUAGUAAAUUAAUUUUCCUUCUCAGAUCAUUGCCACUGUUCUGUUUUGAGGCUCAUCUCACAUUUUCCUACCCUUCCCCCUUUCCCUUUCCCCUUUCCUAGGGUGUAGACCUGUGGGUCCCCUGCUGCAUUUCUCACAGAACUGGAACAAAUCAGCCUGUAAACCAUUGGCACCCCCCACCCCCCUCUCCUUUUUGGGCCUGUGGGCCUGCUGUCCCUGUCAUGGACACAGAUAGAUCUAGAUAACCCUGUGACACGGGUAAACUCUUAGAUGCUUUAAACAUGGUUUUGCAUAUGAUUUUUAUCAUAU
This is a long non-coding RNA of Gallus gallus (chicken), 4026 nucleotides long. RefSeq lists it as uncharacterized. The record is from RefSeq and is a predicted model, not a curated record. The transcript is spliced from 3 exons. Lineage: Eukaryota; Metazoa; Chordata; Aves; Galliformes; Phasianidae.